CUGCAGACGCAGCGCAGCACCGCAGUGAGUGCUUAGCUCCACCCCUUUUCCUUCGGGGCUGCUGCUACCAUGGCAACCUGUGACGUCAGGGUAGCAGCUGCAUCUAACUGUAGCGCGAGAAUUCGCUACCCAGUGGUAAUGGUGGCACCGGGGUUUGAACCCAAGACCACAAGUAAGUGAGACAAGCUCUCUACCACUGAGCCACAACCCUAGUCCAAAACACAAACUAUGGAGUCAAGUCCUAGUUGUGCUGGUUAAGAAGCUGGUUGGAGUGGCACACAGUGGUACCGACAGUGACCUGGGCUUGGGAGAGUUGGCCCCAACAGCAUGGGUGCAGGAGAGUCAACCCUGCCUCUCAAAUGGAUGACACAGGAGAGCUGGCCUCGAUGGCUUGGAUGUGGGUGAGCUGCUCCCACCUCUCUGGCUGACCGACUUGGAAGAGCAGGGCCUGUCCCUCGCCUGGGCAGCAAAGCAGGCCCUAACACCCAGGACAGCUGGCCUGUUGAUGCUACUGACUGAAGAGAUGGUCCUGUCCCUCCUCUGGGCAGUGUGGGAGACACUGGAGAGCCAGCCCCUAUGACAUGGGCAUGGGAGAGCUGGCCCCACCUCUUGCCCAGAGGGGUGCACAUGCUGGAGAGCUGGUCUGCAAGUAGGAUCAUUCCAUGACUCAGCACAACAGUAGGGUAUUUGAGAGUUUCUCUGAGGGUUCAGUAUUGAUGUUGCAGUAGAAGCCAAAGGCAUUGAACUAGCCUAACAACUAGUUGCAACGAACAUUUGAAAAAAAAAAAAAGCUGUUUGGGCUGAUUGGGCAAAAGGGUGUAUGAGAUACUAAUGUGAUACGUAGCAACUUGGAAUGCCACUACAAGGAAAGAAUGUAUGAUGGAGACGCAGGAACCACAGAGGAGUGGAAUGGUACAUCCCAGAAUGCUGCAGUUGAUACAGGAGCAGGUCAUUGCCAAGAGGGGUGGAUGAGGUUUUUUUUGGGAGGGUCUACAAGGAUGCAGGUUGCUGAGAAAUAAAAAUUAUGUUUUUAAAAAAGUUAUCAUUCCACUGACUAAAUCCAAGAAAGGCACAUAUUUUACAUUUCUUUUGUUUUUUUUCCUUUUGUUUUUGUUGUUUCAAGAUAGAAUUUCUCUGUGCAUCUCUGGCUGUCCUGGAACUUACCUUUAGAUCAGGCUGGCCUUGAACCAGAGAUCCACCUGCCUCUGCUGGGAUUAAAGGCAUGUGCCACCAUGACCAGCUCUAGUCUGCAUUUCAUAAGGACAGCAGUUCCUGAUUUCUCGGUAACCGGCUUAUUCAUAUAAGUGAGGGAAAGUUCAGCUAAGCAACUUCAUCUGCCCAGUAAACAUCCUAAGUUACAUUUGUAAUGACAAGAAAGUUACAGUCUUCUAGGAUCUGGAGACACUCUAUUUUCUUUAUAAACAUAUUCCUUUUUUAAAAAGCAGAUUGGGAAAGGCAUUCAACUAAUAUCAAGCCAUACAUAUUUAGAAUUUCAGAUAUAUUUUAUGGCAAAAUUAGAAGUUGCCACAAUAGAAUACAAGUUUCUUAGCUUGACAUGAAAAUGAGUACAGCCUGUGUUCCUCAUAUCUUGGGUAAUAUACUUUUUUUGCUGAACCUAUAUUGAAAAUAUAAACCUAUAUAUAUGGAAAUAAUGACACAGAAAUAAUGGAAUUACAAAGCAGAGCAGACAGUAAAUUGCUACUACAGCUAUGAAUGUGUUUAGAAUGGUUUCGGUUUUAUGGUGCUGUGCGUUUCCAGUAUGGUAUCUUCCAAGUGCAGACAGUUGAAGUGGUACCAUCGUGUGUUACAUGUGCUCGUGGUGACUUGGUGAGUGAAACACAGUGGUUAUCAGUAAUGUUUCAGUCUACUAUUGUAAACAAUAGGCACCUAGGGCCGUUUAGAAGAUAGGAAAAUAGUCUCAUCUUUAUUAGGGGUACUUGACACCUCACUGAACUCCACACACACAUCACCCACCCGCCAUGCUCUACAAUCAGCCCUUUGUUUCAUGCUGCACCCACAUGUGAGAUGUGAAAAGGUCCAAACCUCGCUAUUUUCUCACCAAUUACUUUUCAUAAUAAAAGCAAACAUAAUUCCUUGUCAGUUAUUUUUCAAUCCCCACAUAGCGCCUACAAUAUGGAAAAAGAAAAAUAAUGGACAAAGGAGGAUUGUUACAAAAAUUAAAAAGAUGACUUUGAGGCACUCUGAUGCAAUUGCAGGGAAUUUUGGACAAGUUUUUAAAGACUUGAUUUGAGAAGACAGACACAGUAUGCAAAAACAAGCUGUCAAAUUCAGUGUGUUCCACUGAACUGAAAAAAUAAAUCUGUGUUUUCAGCAGAAAAAUUGUUACGUAGCAUCUCAGAUGCAUUCAAUUACAAAAUUUGUUUAUAUGUUAGCAUAUUUAAUGACAAAGUAUCAGAACCAUUUACUGGUGGUAAGUUUAUUAAAUCAUGAAUGGAACAUGGUUUGAUAUCCCCUCUAAGAGUAAUAUUUCUAAAAUCAGCUUGUCUCACCAGCCUGCAAUUUGAGGAAACUAGGUGGAAUUAACUAUGAGGAGUAAAUUUUACAUUUUAUGCUUUAAUGACAGAUUGCCACACUGAUGCUACAAACACAGUUCACCUUGCCACUGUUGUUAAAAGUAUUUAUGACCAUCAUGUUCCUGAAGAAACAGAUUCUCAACUAAAUCAAAAGAUUUUACACCAAAUGGUCAAAAAGAAGUUAAAGGGAUUUGCUUUGUCCAUUGUCAACAUAUCUGUUAUAGUCACUGAUAAUGCCUUGGAGACAAAAGAUAAAGGAGCAGGGUUGUAAUGUAACAGAAGACAAUGCAACCACUUUCUCAAAUUCAUGUUUGAAUAAGUAUAUCGUUACCAACUUGUGAAUCUUGCAAGAGCCAAGGAACUAAUCGUAACCAAUUCAGAAAUUCCUCUAAAGUGUUGAGGUUGACUAUGGAGACAUCAUUUACUUUUCAAAAGUAAGAUGGCUAAGUUAAGACCAAAUAUUGAAAUUAUUUUUUCGUUUAGGGCAUGUUAUCAAGUUGUUUAUGGAAGCAAAAGCUAAAU
Molecule: long non-coding RNA, 3056 nt
Organism: Mesocricetus auratus (golden hamster)
Lineage: Eukaryota; Metazoa; Chordata; Mammalia; Rodentia; Cricetidae
Exons: 3
Source: RefSeq, a predicted model, not a curated record